AAAAAAUAAAAAAAAACAUUUUUUUGUGAAUUGUUGGCCUUCUGGAAAGUAUGUUCAUUUACUGUACAUGUACCCAAUACUUGGUAGGGGCUCCUUUUGCUUUAAUUACUGGCUCAAUUCAGCGUGGCAUGGAGGUGAUCAGUUUGUGGCACUGCUGAGGUGGUAUGGAAGCCCAGGUUUCUUUGACAGUGGCCCUCAGCUCAUAUGCAUUUUUUGGUCUCGUUUCUCAUUUUCCUCUUGACAGUACCCCAUAGAUUCUCUAUGGCAGGGUUCCUCAAAUCUUACCCUGGAGGGCCAAUGCACUGCAGUGUUUAGCUCUAACCCUGAUCAAACUCACCCACCUGUGAUUUUCUAAUGAUCCUGAAGGCAUUGAUUAGCAUGCUCAGGUGUGUUUGAUUAGGGUUACAGCUAAACUCUUCAGGAAAGUGGAUCUCGUGGGCCAGAUUUGAGGAUCCCUGCUCUAUGGGGUUCAGGUCUGGUGAGUUUGCUGGCCAGUCAAGCACACCAACACCAUGGUCACUUAACCAACUUUUGGCAGUGUGGGCAGGUGCCAAAUCCUGCUGGAAAAAUAAAUCGGCAUCUUCAAAAAGCCGGUCAGCAGAAGGAAGCAUGAAGUGCUCCAAAAUUUCUUGGUAAACGGAUGCAGUGACUUUGGUUUUCAAAAAACACAAUGGACCAACACCAGCAGGUGACAUUGCACCCCAAAUCAUCACAGACUGUGGAAACUUAACACUGGACUUCAAGCAACAAGGGCUAUGAGCUUCUCCACCCUUCCUCCAGACUCUUGGUUUCCAAAUGAAAUGCAAAACUUGCUCUCAUCUGAAAAGAGGACUUUGGACCACUGGGCAACAGUCCAGUUCUUCUUCUCCUUAGCCCAGCUUUUAAGGAGAAGGAAGCCAGUUUGGAAGACAGCCUGCCCACACAAUACAUGGAGGAUUCCAACUCGUCUUUGGAGAAAAGGUUCAGGGGCCGGCAUGGAGGGGUUCCACUACGAUUUUCAACCGCAGCAAUGAAUUUUAAGAGAAGCAUCUGAGAUCGAUACUUAAAUGAAACAUAACUGGGAACUCCAUUACAUCUCCUGAGCAAUGAAAGAGCAGCCUUUGAGUAAUAAAAUGUUCCUCUGGGAAGGUCCAAGAUGGAAAAUGAGAAGUAUGGUUGUAGAUGGCAUGCAGAUUAAGACAGAAAAAGAAUAAAAAAUGCUAAUGUUGACCUCAAUCCUCAAGAUUACUGCCGAUGCCAGAAUGUGCUAUAUCACUUCAAAGACUUGUGCAGAAGUGCUUU
Long non-coding RNA from Cyprinus carpio carpio, 1281 nucleotides. Lineage: Eukaryota; Metazoa; Chordata; Actinopteri; Cypriniformes; Cyprinidae. The record is from Ensembl.